AGGCCUAAAGGUCUUUUAAACCAAAAUCCGAUUUGCAAUCAAAUAUUAUUAGACC
Molecule: transfer RNA, 55 nt
Filed under: Ctenophorus salinarum
Lineage: Eukaryota; Metazoa; Chordata; Lepidosauria; Squamata; Agamidae
Description: tRNA-Cys
Source: RNAcentral